AAGAGAUCUAAUACCCUGCUAUGAACCAUCACACAUAAACUCCAUCAAUACUCUACCAACACAUCCAAACUAGCAAGAAGUUAGGUUGCUCACCUUGCACAGCUCCAACUCAGGUUGAAGCACACCAAAACCAAUCUACAAGGGUCACUAAAACUCAGCCAAGGUGGUUCACAAACCUGCUGUGAACAUACAUCAAAACAGCAUCACUACUAUCACCAAUAUAACUAGUAUAGCCUCAAAAUAGAGAGAGUAGUUAGCUAAUCACCUUCCCAAAGCUUCAAUUCAGCUUUCCUCUAGUUUAGGAUUGGAGAAUUACAGCCAAAACACCUUCUCUACAGCUGCUACAAGCUUCCCCAACUCAGCUGGCAGCAAGGAAGCAAAACAUAAUCUCAAACCCACAACUAUAGCAUCAAACUAGAGAGAAAAGUUGGCUAGUCACCUUGUACAGCUUCAACUCAGUUUCUACUGA
This 469-nucleotide long non-coding RNA is filed under the name Ananas comosus (pineapple). Its description in RNAcentral is "long non-coding RNA (ACOM_LNC026893)". Lineage: Eukaryota; Viridiplantae; Streptophyta; Magnoliopsida; Poales; Bromeliaceae. The record is from RNAcentral.